ACCCCUAGAUGUUCUGGGCCGCACGCGCGCUACACUGAACAGUUCAACAAGUCUUAACCUUGGCCGAUACGUCUGGGUAAUCUUUGAACGCUGUUCGUGAUUGGGAUAGACCUUUGCAAUUAUGGGUCUUCAACGAGGAAUUCCUAGUAAACGCAAGUCAUCAGCUUGCAUUGAUUACGUCCCUGCCCUUUGUACACACCGCCCGUCGCACCUACCGAUUGAAUGGUCCGGUGAAAUCUCGGGACGGCGGCUUGGUCGCUUGCGUCCGACUGCUGAAACUUGAUUAAACCAUAUCAUUUAGAGGAAGGUGAAGUCGUAACA
This 321-nucleotide ribosomal RNA is filed under the name uncultured eukaryote. Its description in RNAcentral is "partial 18S ribosomal RNA". It matches the Rfam family "Eukaryotic small subunit ribosomal RNA", at positions 1469 to 1796 of the family's 1831-position model. The record is from RNAcentral.